This 429-nucleotide ribosomal RNA is filed under the name uncultured beta proteobacterium. RNAcentral describes it as "bacterial SSU rRNA". It matches the Rfam family "Bacterial small subunit ribosomal RNA", at positions 355 to 776 of the family's 1533-position model. The record is from RNAcentral. Lineage: Bacteria; Pseudomonadati; Pseudomonadota; Betaproteobacteria.
UGGGGAAUUUUGGACAAUGGGGGCAACCCUGAUCCAGCCAUGCCGCGUGUGUGAAGAAGGCCUUCGGGUUGUAAAGCACUUUCGGACGGAACGAAAUCGCGCGGCCUAACAAUCCGCGUGGAUGACGGUACCGUAAGAAGAAGCACCGGCUAACUACGUGCCAGCAGCCGCGGUAAUACGUAGGGUGCGAGCGUUAAUCGGAAUUACUGGGCGUAAAGCGUGCGCAGGCGGUUUCGCAAGUCAGACGUGAAAGCCCCGGGCUUAACUUGGGAAUGGCGUUUGAAACUACGAAGCUGGAGUGUGACAGAGGGAGAUGGAAUUCCACGUGUAGCGGUGAAAUGCGUAGAGAUGUGGAGGAACACCGAUGGCGAAGGCAGUCUCCUGGGUCAACACUGACGCUCAUGCACGAAAGCGUGGGGAGCAAACAGG